RNAcentral lists this ribosomal RNA (1115 nucleotides) under Salmonella enterica. RNAcentral describes it as "bacterial SSU rRNA". It matches the Rfam family "Bacterial small subunit ribosomal RNA", at positions 1 to 1107 of the family's 1533-position model. The record is from RNAcentral. Lineage: Bacteria; Pseudomonadati; Pseudomonadota; Gammaproteobacteria; Enterobacterales; Enterobacteriaceae. RNAcentral also lists the same sequence under 1 other name.
AAAUUGAAGAGUUUGAUCAUGGCUCAGAUUGAACGCUGGCGGCAGGCCUAACACAUGCAAGUCGAACGGUAGCACAGAGAGCUUGCUCUCGGGUGACGAGUGGCGGACGGGUGAGUAAUGUCUGGGAAACUGCCCGAUGGAGGGGGAUAACUACUGGAAACGGUAGCUAAUACCGCAUAACGUCGCAAGACCAAAGUGGGGGACCUUCGGGCCUCACACCAUCGGAUGUGCCCAGAUGGGAUUAGCUAGUAGGUGGGGUAACGGCUCACCUAGGCGACGAUCCCUAGCUGGUCUGAGAGGAUGACCAGCCACACUGGAACUGAGACACGGUCCAGACUCCUACGGGAGGCAGCAGUGGGGAAUAUUGCACAAUGGGCGCAAGCCUGAUGCAGCCAUGCCGCGUGUAUGAAGAAGGCCUUCGGGUUGUAAAGUACUUUCAGCGAGGAGGAAGGCGUUGUGGUUAAUAACCACAGCGAUUGACGUUACUCGCAGAAGAAGCACCGGCUAACUCCGUGCCAGCAGCCGCGGUAAUACGGAGGGUGCAAGCGUUAAUCGGAAUUACUGGGCGUAAAGCGCACGCAGGCGGUUUGUUAAGUCAGAUGUGAAAUCCCCGGGCUCAACCUGGGAACUGCAUUUGAAACUGGCAAGCUUGAGUCUCGUAGAGGGGGGUAGAAUUCCAGGUGUAGCGGUGAAAUGCGUAGAGAUCUGGAGGAAUACCGGUGGCGAAGGCGGCCCCCUGGACAAAGACUGACGCUCAGGUGCGAAAGCGUGGGGAGCAAACAGGAUUAGAUACCCUGGUAGUCCACGCCGUAAACGAUGUCUACUUGGAGGUUGUGCCCUUGAGGCGUGGCUUCCGGAGCUAACGCGUUAAGUAGACCGCCUGGGGAGUACGGCCGCAAGGUUAAAACUCAAAUGAAUUGACGGGGGCCCGCACAAGCGGUGGAGCAUGUGGUUUAAUUCGAUGCAACGCGAAGAACCUUACCUGGUCUUGACAUCCACGGAAGUUUUCAGAGAUGAGAAUGUGCCUUCGGGAACCGUGAGACAGGUGCUGCAUGGCUGUCGUCAGCUCGUGUUGUGAAAUGUUGGGUUAAGUCCCGCAACGAGCGCAACCCUUA